ACUCAAAUGAAUUGACGGGGACCCGCACAAGCGGUGGAUGAUGUGGAUUAAUUCGAUGCAACGCGAAGAACCUUACCUGCUCUUGACAUGCCAGAAAGACCUCAGAGAUGAGGUUGUGCCUUCGGGAAUCUGGGCACAGGUGCUGCAUGGCUGUCGUCAGCUCGUGUCGUGAGAUGUUGUCUUAAGUGACGCAACGAGCGCAACCCUUACUACUAGUUGCCCUAAUUAAGUUUGGCACUCUAGUGGGACUGCCGGUGCUAAGCCGGAGGAAGGUGGGGAUGACGUCAAGUCCUCAUGGCCCUUAUGAGCAGGGCUUCACACGUCAUACAAUGGUAGGUACAGACGGUUGCCAACCCGCGAGGGGGAGCUAAUCCGAGAAAGCCUAUCGUAGUCCGGAUUGUAGUCUGCAACUCGACUACAUGAAGUCGGAAUCGCUAGUAAUCGCAGAUCAGCAUGUUGCGGUGAAUACGUUCCCGGGUCUUGCACACACCGCCCGU
Molecule: ribosomal RNA, 497 nt
Filed under: uncultured bacterium
Lineage: Bacteria
Description: partial 16S ribosomal RNA
Rfam family: Bacterial small subunit ribosomal RNA
Source: RNAcentral